ACGCACGCUGGCGGCGUGCUUAACCCCUGCCAGUCGAACGGAAAGGCCCUGCUUUUGUGGGGUGCUCGAGUGGCGAACGGGUGAGUAACACGUGAGUAACCUGCCCUUGACUUUGGGAUAACUUCAGGAAACUGGGGCUAAUACCGGAUAGGAGCUCCUGCUGCAUGGUGGGGGUUGGAAAGUUUCGGCGGUUGGGGAUGGACUCGCGGCUUAUCAGCUUGUUGGUGGGGUAGUGGCUUACCAAGGCUUUGACGGGUAGCCGGCCUGAGAGGGUGACCGGCCACAUUGGGACUGAGAUACGGCCCAGACUCCUACGGGAGGCAGCAGUGGGGAAUAUUGAACAAUGGGCGGAAGCCUGAUGCAGCAACGCCGCGUGCGGGAUGACGGCCUUCGGGUUGUAAACCGCUUUCGCCUGUGACGAAGCGUGAGUGACGGUAAUGGGUAAAGAAGCACCGGCUAACUACGUG
This 467-nucleotide ribosomal RNA is filed under the name uncultured bacterium. Its description in RNAcentral is "partial 16S ribosomal RNA". It matches the Rfam family "Bacterial small subunit ribosomal RNA", at positions 29 to 507 of the family's 1533-position model. The record is from RNAcentral.